Molecule: long non-coding RNA, 1076 nt
Organism: Dioscorea cayenensis subsp. rotundata (Guinea yam)
Lineage: Eukaryota; Viridiplantae; Streptophyta; Magnoliopsida; Dioscoreales; Dioscoreaceae
Exons: 3
Source: RefSeq, a predicted model, not a curated record
AGCUCCCGCAGAACCCGCCAAUAAUCCAAGAAAGUUUUUUUUAUUAUUUAUUUAUUCAUUUAUUUAUUUAUUUAUUUAUUUUCAUCGCAUAACGAUUUUCUUCCUCUUUUUAGCCACUCAAGAGAAUGAAAGUAUUUCAUCUCUUAGUCAAACUCCUUCGGCAAGUUUUAUAAAAGAUGCCCCCUCUUCAAUGGAGAGUGAUGACGGGAAUACUCAUGUUGAGAGUGUACCUUGCGAUAGCAAAAAUGCUAACAUUGAGAGCAUGCCUCAUGAUAGUGGUAACGUCAAUGUUGACACCACACUUCCAGCAAUGCAGAAUGAAGUCGUCCAAGAAAUUGCCAAGGACAUUCAUACUCCCACCAAAGAAUUAGAAAGUGGUGACUCUAAUGCCGAUGUCGAGGUUCAAAGAAUAUACCAAAUGUAGUGUUACGCCUGUGAGACGAGAUGAUUAAUAAUAUCAAGUCCCUCGACUAUCACAACUAUCAAGGCAUCAUCAACAAAGUCAAGGAGUCAAAAUUACUUUUUGAACCUUUCAACAUUGAUUUGACCAGUCUAGAGCCUUUCAUAGAGAAGAUCGCUCGAUGUGCAACCUAUGCUAAAGAAGCCUUAGAGGAUCCUAAUGUUCAAGCUUGUAUCCAUAGGCAACAAGCCAAGGCAUGCGUGCAUGAAAGAACUUUGGAACUUGAGCGUCUUAACAAACUCAGGGCAGACUGGACCAAUGACAUAAAUGCAAAUAAGGAGGAAUAUCAGAAACUUGCUGAGAGGGAACAUCAACUUUAGGCCGAGCUUUGUGAGAUUCAAGGCACAGUGAAGACUCUGAGUGAAAAGAUAGCGGAUUCAACGGGCCUGAUUGAAGCUUCCGAGCCUACACAAGCGAAUCUUCAAGUUGCAUUGGAUGAGGCCAAGACACAGCUCGCUGAGAAUCAAGAAGAGAACUUAGAUGCUCCUCUUAUGGCUAUUUUCACAAAAUGGCUUGAUGAGUUGGAGGAAUUAAAAGAAUCAUUGUUGAAAUUUACUAGGCAUUAAAGAGCCUUCUUUCUUUCUUUCUUAAUUUGCUUUCCUAGUUUGUUUUAUUA